This 527-nucleotide ribosomal RNA is filed under the name uncultured Chloroflexota bacterium. RNAcentral's name for it is "bacterial SSU rRNA". It matches the Rfam family "Bacterial small subunit ribosomal RNA", at positions 471 to 999 of the family's 1533-position model. Lineage: Bacteria; Bacillati; Chloroflexota. The record is from RNAcentral.
GACGGUAGCUAUAGAAUCAGUCUCGGCUAACUACGUUGCCAGCAGCCGCGGUAAGACGUAGUAGGCGAGCGUUAUCGGAUUCACUGGGCGUAAAGCGCAUGUAGGCGGUUGAACAAGUCGUGUGUUAAAGCCCCUGGCUCAACUGGGGGAGGUCAUGCGAGACUGUGCGACUUGAGGGCAAGAGAGGCACGUGGAACUCCCGGUGUAGCGGUGGAAUGCGUAGAGAUCGGGAAGAACACCAGUGGCGAAGGCGACGUGCUGGGUUGCACCUGACGCUGAGAUGCGAAAGUGUGGGGAGCAAACGGGAUUAGAUACCCCGGUAGUCCACACUGUAAACGAUGAACCCUAGGUGUGGGCGGGAAUACCGUCCGUGCCGAAGCCAACGCGUUAAGGGUUCCGCCUGGGGACUAUGAGCGCAAGCUUAAAACUCAAAGGAAUUGACGGGGGCCCGCACAAGCAGCGGAGCGUGCGGUUCAAUUCGAUGCGACACGAAGAACCUUACCAGGGUUUGACAUGGUUGUGGUAGU